RNAcentral lists this ribosomal RNA (735 nucleotides) under uncultured bacterium. RNAcentral describes it as "bacterial SSU rRNA". It matches the Rfam family "Bacterial small subunit ribosomal RNA", at positions 28 to 763 of the family's 1533-position model. The record is from RNAcentral.
GAUGAACGCUAGCGGCAGGCCUAAUACAUGCAAGUCGAACGGUAAGGCCCUUUCGGGGGCACACGAGUGGCGGACGGGUGCGUAACGCGUAUGCAACAUGCCUCCAAGCGGGGGAUAUGCCAGGGAAACUUGGUGCAAAACCCCAUAGCAUUCCGGGAUCGCAUGGUCCUGGGAUUAAAUCUCCGGAGCUUGGAGAUUGGCAUGCGUGACAUUAGCUAGUUGGCGGGGUAACGGCCCACCAAGGCGACGAUGUCUAGCUGGUCUGAGAGGAUGAUCAGCCACACUGGGACUGAGACACGGCCCAGACUCCUACGGGAGGCAGCAGUAGGGAAUAUUGGACAAUGGGCGGAAGCCUGAUCCGGCCAUGCCGCGUGAGGGAAGAAGGUCCUCUGGAUUGUAAACCUCUUUUGGCGGGGGACAAACCACCACUACACGUGGUGCUGAGGGUACCCGCAGAAUAAGCACCGGCUAACUCCGUGCCAGCAGCCGCGGUAAUACGGAGGGUGCAAGCGUUGUCCGGAUUCAUUGGGUUUAAAGGGUGCGUAGGCGGCCCCUUAAGUCAGCGGUGAAAUACCACGGCUCAACCGUGGAACUGCCGUUGAUACUGAGGGGCUUGAGUUCGUGCGAGGUCGCUGGAAUGAGUGGUGUAGCGGUGAAAUGCAUAGAUAUCACUCAGAACACCGAUUGCGAAGGCAGGUGACUGGCACGCGACUGACGCUGAGGCACGAAAGUGUG